UUAUAAGUCAUGCAAUCAUUCCUAUGGUCAUCCCCGACUAGACAUGGGAGGAACAGAAUAAAUAUUGUUGAUAAUACCAUUUCAAGAAAUAGCCAUGCAGGCAUGUAAAAAACUGUAUCACUAUUCCUCACUUAAUAGAACCUUUUAAGUCAUGCAAUCAUUCCUAUGAUCAUCCCCGACUAGACAUGGGAGGAACAGAAUAAAUAUUGUUGAUAAUACCAUUUCAAGAAAUAGCCAUGCAGGCAUGUAAAAAACUGUAUCACUAUCCUCACUUAAUAGAACCUUAUAAGUCAUGCAAUCAUUCCUAUGACCAACCCCGACUAGACAUGGGAGGAACAGAAUAAAUAUUGUUGAUAAUACCAUUUCAGAUACA
RNAcentral lists this long non-coding RNA (373 nucleotides) under Solanum tuberosum (potato). Its description in RNAcentral is "long non-coding RNA (STUB_LNC009552)". Lineage: Eukaryota; Viridiplantae; Streptophyta; Magnoliopsida; Solanales; Solanaceae. The record is from RNAcentral.